UUGGAUACAGGAAUAGAAACGAAGGAUAAGUUAGUUAGAAUUAGAGAGUUGAAUAACGAACAAUAAUAAUUGAGAAUGUACAUUUUCCUGUGAUUAAAGGAAAUUAUUGGCAAUAAUUAUUUUUUGUUUAUAACAAUUUAAAAUUUUAUAUAUACUUAUGUACCUUUGUAAAAAUGAAAAUUAUGUUUCAGUUUAAAUGAUCCAUCAAUGUUUAGGGGGAAAGAUAAUUUCCAUAUAAAAUUAUCAUUAAUCUACAUUUUAUUUUUAAACUCCAUUCUUCUUGUAUUAACACCGAGAGCAUGGAAUGUGGGAAGUCGUCGCCACCAAUAUCCGUAAGUGACAUCAUCGACGAUGAUACUGGGUGGGACAGACGACGCUACCAGUGUCGUAAGUACUUAAUCUAAAUUUUUUAUUUUAAACUAUUGAAUAUUUUCAUAGUUUUUUUUUAGAGUAAGUGGCAGCACCGACGAGGAUGUCGUAGACAGGGUGGGUCAGAUGUUGCUACCAAUAUCGUAAUAUAAAUUUUUAUUUUAAACUAUUAAAUAUUUUUUGAGAAUGCUCAGGAGCAGCCAGCGCUUCUGCCAUAGAGGCUACACACCCUGGCUUCUGCUGUGG
This is a long non-coding RNA of Anoplophora glabripennis (Asian longhorned beetle), 615 nucleotides long. RefSeq lists it as uncharacterized. The transcript has 2 exons. The record is from RefSeq and is a predicted model, not a curated record. NCBI's taxonomy places the organism in Eukaryota, Metazoa, Arthropoda, Insecta, Coleoptera, Cerambycidae.